Molecule: ribosomal RNA, 487 nt
Filed under: uncultured Propionibacterium sp.
Lineage: Bacteria; Bacillati; Actinomycetota; Actinomycetes; Propionibacteriales; Propionibacteriaceae
Description: bacterial SSU rRNA
Rfam family: Bacterial small subunit ribosomal RNA
Source: RNAcentral
AGAGUUUGAUCCUGGCUCAGGACGAACGCUGGCGGCGUGCUUAACACAUGCAAGUCGAACGGAAAGGCCUCUUUCGGGGGGUACUCGAGUGGCGAACGGGUGAGUAACACGUGAGUAACCUGCCCUUGACUUUGGGAUAACUUCAGGAAACUGGGGCUAAUACCGGAUAGGAGCUCCUGCUGCAUGGUGGGGGUUGGAAAGUUUCGGCGGUUGGGGAUGGACUCGCGGCUUAUCAGCUUGUUGGUGGGGUAGUGGCUUACCAAGGCUUUGACGGGUAGCCGGCCUGAGAGGGUGACCGGCCACAUUGGGACUGAGAUACGGCCCAGACUCCUACGGGAGGCAGCAGUGGGGAAUAUUGCACAAUGGGUGGAAGCCUGAUGCAGCAACGCCGUGUGCGGGAUGACGGCCUUCGGGUUGUAAACCGCUUUCGCUCAUGACGAAGCUUUGUGUGACGGUAGUGGGUAAAGAAGCACCGGCUAACUACGUG